Molecule: ribosomal RNA, 253 nt
Filed under: uncultured bacterium
Lineage: Bacteria
Description: partial 16S ribosomal RNA
Rfam family: Bacterial small subunit ribosomal RNA
Source: RNAcentral
UACGGAGGAUCCAAGCGUUGUCCGGAUUCAUUGGGUUUAAAGGGUGCGUAGGCGGGCUAUUAAGUCAGAGGUGAAAUCUUGCGGCUCAACCGUAAAAUUGCCUUUGAAACUGGUAGCCUUGAAUUCGGUCGAGGUGGAUGGAAUGUGUCAUGUAGCGGUGAAAUGCUUAGAUAUGACCCAGAACACCAAUUGCGAAGGCAGUUCACUAGACCGACAUUGACGCUGAGGCACGAAAGCGUGGGUAGCGAACAGG